RNAcentral lists this long non-coding RNA (4877 nucleotides) under Olea europaea (common olive). RNAcentral's name for it is "long non-coding RNA (OEUR_LNC009187)". Lineage: Eukaryota; Viridiplantae; Streptophyta; Magnoliopsida; Lamiales; Oleaceae. The record is from RNAcentral.
AAGCCCGGAUGACUGCUGUUACGCCUCAUUUUACGAGCCUCGAUACCGAAGUGUCAUCUCACCACCGAGGCCAAGAUCAAAUAGACCACUCCGACCUUCCCGAAGCUUCUCCGAAGUGAUACAUCGAUUCCUACUAUUGAUCUGCCCAAGUAUCCCACCUCCCAGGUCGGGUUCAGGUGGACCCCGGUUAGAAGAUCCGCCGCCAAUUUAAGAUUUGUUCUGCAUAUAAGGUUUAAAUUGAUUUGACAUCCCCAUGAGGCUAUUUGAUGUGACUUAUCAACUUUAUGUCAAUUCAACUCGGAGGAAACAAACUGUCCGCCCACUCUACAAGCGCGGCUGAUUGACGCCUAUGAGCAGACGCUUCAUACCGUCAAAUGUAUACACGUAUUCCACAUCCCACGGUUCAUACCACCUAUAAAUACCCAAAGUUUGGCAAGAGGCAAAGGUAAUGAAACUCUCAAUACAUAGCAUUCCAUAACAAGUUUAUAUAUUCUCCUCCCCCUUUAUUGAUUGAUUUGUGUAGCCCUAGGGCACUGCUCCGACCACCCAAACCUGACUUGACCGUCGGAGUGUAUACGGCCGCCACCCCCGUCGGUUCCGGCCGUAUGCGCCUGACCAUUUGUUCAUUUCGCAGGGAGGAAUACGUGAAGUAGCUACAAGUUGGCCACGUGGAGGAGCCAUUUUUGGAGGUCAACAGUUUGGCACCGUCUGUGGGAAGCUCAUUCCCCAUUUGAAGUUUUACGUUCCCCAUCGGAGAAGACACCGGAAAACCGACGACUGACCCUGAAAAGGGGGCAUUCUUGAAAAAGAACAAAAGUCGAAUUACAAUCCAAGUUCUUACUACCCUUGAAAGAAGAGGUAGGAUGAGCUACAGCCGUGAAGACAAACCCAUCAGAGAGGCCUCUGAAGAAGAGGUACUCCAUAACAAUGUUGCUCAUCAGAGACCGCAUCACCGGCGUCGACGAGGCGAAAGAACAGCCAUGCUCACUGAAGGAAUGGCCCAGAUAGCUGCGGGCAUGAGAGACAUAGCAGCUCAGAAUAUGGCGAUGCGGGAACUUCUCAUGCAAGCCCAGGGACACCAGAUGCCCCAAGGAUCUUAUCCGGUACAGGAAAUCCCUUUGUCGCAUUCUCGAGGCCACAUGAGCCGGCACACAGAACGACCUCUCGAAAGAGAGGGGAACACCGAAGCGACAUCUUAUGUGCAGGAAAGUCACCCAUCGGAACCACUCUUGGGGGACAACUUACUCAAGAACACAAUGACCAGAGGUCAGUAAGCGUCUUCGACCGGAUAGGGAACGAUCCUAGCAGUAGGGUCCGCCCUUCAAAAGGGCCGGUCCGGUCAGACCACGAAGAAGAUUAUGUUCCUCCUCCUCCUAGAAAUAGGAGGGAGAGGAGAAACUUAGUCGAUUGGGGGAGCCGGGGGAAAGCACCUCCUUUACCCCAAGACAUCCAAGAUGAUCAAGGAUUUGAGGGGCCCUGUCGAUCUUAUGAGAUUGACGACAAUGACGAUAACCUCCCUUUCUCAAGGGAAAUCCGAAGCUUCCCAAUGCCAACUAAUUUCAUGCCCCCUAAGAUCCCCAAGUAUGAGGGAAAAGGGGAUCCGGAGAAGCACCUCACAAAGUAUAUGACACAAAUGAGUCUUAGGGGAGCCUCACCUGCUCUAAAGUGCAGAGCCUUCCAUUUAACACUAGGCGGAGCCGCCGAGGUGUGGUACAGCAGGCUUCCUCCCCUAAGCAUCAGAAGUUGGCCGGAGUUGAAGAAAGCAUUUUUGAACCAGUACCUCUCACGCAGGGAAGCAGAGGCGCCAAUCCAACGCCUGCAAGACAUGAGGCAGGCCCCUGGAGAGGCGCUGAAAAGCUAUCUCGCCAGGUUUACAGAUGAGAUUACUUACUGCGAACAGGUCACUGAUAGGGAAGCCCUUUCAGCCCUGAAAGGUGGUCUCAACAUGAACACUUUGUUUUGGAGGGACGUGCGCAACAAGAAUCCCUCCACAUACGACGAGCUGGUGGAGAUGAUGAGGGUGGGAAUUGUUAGUGAAGAAAUGAUUGAUCAUCGUAACCGUGUCUCGCAGGGACUCCCUCCCCCACAAAAGCAGGUAGGUCGAGGCCCUGCAGCGCACCUUGUUACUUAGCAAUGGACCCAAGCAGGGCAUACCAUAGCUCCCACAUCCGGACAGGCCUUAGCUUCCACCAUAUUGAACGCAGUGCCGGUGUUGGCUUAUGAUAACGCACCCGCUGAGGCAGGACCAUCUGGAAGAACUGACAACAACAAGAAGAAGAAAAAGAGGCCAAACAGGCCUUUGCCAGGAGCAAGAUUUUGUACUUUCCAUCAACUAUACGGGCAUGACACCAGCGAGUGUCGGGAUGCCAACCGGCGCCCUGAUCGAAGCAACCCCCACACUUCCAGCAGAAAUGAGCACCCCCGCAGAUCCACCUCCCCGAGGAGGGAAGGAAGGGGUCACCAAGAACAGUCUCCUCGCAGAAGAGAAUCAAAUCUACACUGUCUGGGAUCCUAUAUUCUGUCCUAAGUCUACUCAGGUCAGCCUCCCUCAAUUUUAAUGGGUAGUCCGAUGCCCCCAAAUGCACAGAAGUAUUCGGGGGGCUAUCUGGUCGCUUCCAUAUGUUCUCCCCCCCAUUAUUGCCCCAGCUAUUUCUGAGGAGGUCGCCACAAUGGGCUCGUCCACCCUCACUAUUUCUAAGCCCCUCCCCAAACCAGAACUCCCUUCCGAGGCCAUUCGAUAAGAAACUUUUUACAGUCCAAAUGGGUACUGAAACUUACGAGUUUGGAAGUUUUUCCUAGCCGGAAAUGGUGCAGGAUUGCCGGAUGUAUCGUUCUCUCUCGUCGGAGUUGCUUGCAAAACGCCGAAAAUCGCCGAAAAUUUGGGAACAAAUUUUGGUUUUCUUCUGGUAAAGAUAGAAACUCUGAUAAACCCACAAAGUUCGCCUUUUAUAGGAAAGACAAGUCCAAUCUCCACCGUUGAAUUCAAAUGCGAUCAAUCUAAAUCGUUCGUCGCAUCCUCAAUCCCGGUCGUUGAAAUAAAACGCCAGAUUUGAUCUACGCCCAAGAUGUCGCUGUGGCUUUCACACUAAAUUGAAACGCGUCGCCUCGGUUACAAAUAGCCGUCAAUAAUAAUUACUAGCCGCAGCAGCCUUUUAGGAGAAUGGGCAUGGUAUCCAACUGUCACCUUGGAAACACGCAACAGUUGUCAAAUCAUUGGACUUUUGGGCCGCCUCGGAUGAUCUCCUCCCCCAACUUUACAAAGCUUGGACGCACCUGACGCGAACGCCCCAUUGGCUCAUCGCCUCGGUCGCUGUGUUUCCUCCCAUGCUUUACAAAGUUUCAGUCAUCUCCCCACGCGUCGACCUUUUCCUGCCAACGCGUCGGUACGAGACGAGUCCCUAAAAUUUUACGAAGCUUGGACGCACUUGACGCGAACGCCCCACUGGCUCAUCGCCUCGGUCGCUGCGUUUCCUCCCAUGCUUUACAAAGUUUCAGUCAUCUCCCCACGCGUCGACCUUUUCCUGCCAACGCGUCGGUACGAGACGAGUCCCUAAAAUUUUAUGAAGCUUGGACGCACCUGACGCGAACGCCCCACUGGCUCAUCGCCUCGGUCGCUGCGUUUCCUCCCAUGCUUUACAAAGUUUCAGCCAUCUCCCCACGCGUUGACCUUUUCCUGCCAACGCAUCGGUGCGAGACGAGUCCCUAAAAUUUUAUGAAACUCGGACGCACCUGACGAGAACGCCCCAUUGGCUCAUCGCCUCGGCGCUGCGUUUCCUCCCAUGCUUUACAAAGUUUCAGCUACCCCCACGCCGCGGUCCGGUCAGGAAAACAAAUCCACGUAUAAUAUAAAUAUUCACUGUCACGCCUCAUUUUACGAGCUUCGAUACCGAAGUGUCAUCUCACCACCGAGGCGAAGAUCAAAUAGACCACUCCGACCUUCCCGAAGCUUCUCCGAAGUGAUACAUCGAUUCCUACUAUUGAUCUGCCCAAGUAUCCCACCUCCCAGGUCGGGUUCAGGUGGACCCCGGUUAGAAGAUCCUCCGCCAAUUUAAGAUUUGUUCUGCAUAUAAGGUUUAAAUUGAUUUAACAUCCCCAUGAGGCUAUUUGAUGUGACUUAUCAACUUUAUGUCAAUUCAACUCGGGGGAAACAAACUGUCCGCCCACUCUACAAGCGCGGCUGAUUGACGCCGAUGAGCAGACGCUUCAUACCGUCAGAUGUAUACACGUGUUCCACAUCCCACGGUUCAUACCACCUAUAAAUACCCAAAGUUUGGCAAGAGACAAAGGUAAUGAAACUCUCAAUACAUAGCAUUCCAUUACAAGUUUAUAUAUUCUCCUCCCCCUUUAUUGAUUGAUUUGUAUAGCCCCAGGGCACUGCUCCGACCACCCAAACUUGACUUGACCGUCUAAGUGUAUACGGCCGCCACCUCCAUCGGUUCCGGCCGUGUGCGCCUGACCAUUUGUUCAUUUCGUAGGGAGGAAUACGUGGAGUAGCUACAAAUUGGGCACGUGGAGGAGCCAUUUUUGGAGGUCAACAACUGCAUUAAAGAAAAGGGAGAGGAAGGACAAGAGAAAGGCAGGAGAUUCUGAUAAGAAAGAGGAUUCAAAAAUCCAUUCUGCAGCUUCUAAGAUCACAAGUUAAACUAGAUUCCCUUGGGAAGUUCUUAUAGUUCUGUUUUCUUUGAAAUAGCCGUAAGGUUGUAUGGUCUUUUAUAUUCUUUCAUAUAUUCUAAAAUUGUUUUAGAACUUCGAGUUGUCUGAAAAGAAUUUUUUUACAUUAGAUGUUGAAUAUUUGGUAAGAUACAGAAGUCCAUUUUCUUUCCAAAUAUUUCGGUGAAAUUUUUAUUUUUGUAUUCGUAUCAUAUAUCUAAAUGUUG